CCCCUGCGACGCUGCGGCGUGCCUAAUACAUGCAAGUCGAGCGAAUCUUUGGGAGCUUGCUCCCAUUGGUUAGCGGCGGACGGGUGAGUAACACGUGGGCAACCUGCCUGUAAGACUGGGAUAACUUCGGGAAACCGGAGCUAAUACCGGAUAAUUCUUUUCCUCUCAUGAGGAAAAGCUGAAAGUCGGUUUACGCUGACACUUACAGAUGGGCCCGCGGCGCAUUAGCUAGUUGGUGAGGUAACGGCUCACCAAGGCGACGAUGCGUAGCCGACCUGAGAGGGUGAUCGGCCACACUGGGACUGAGACACGGCCCAGACUCCUACGGGAGGCAGCAGUAGGGAAUCUUCCACAAUGGACGAAAGUCUGAUGGAGCAACGCCGCGUGAGCGAUGAAGGCCUUCGGGUCGUAAAGCUCUGUUGUUAGGGAAGAACAAGUACCGGAGUAACUGCCGGUACCUUGACGGUACCUAACCAGAAAGCCACGGCUAACUACGUGCCAGCAGCCGCGGUAAUACGUAGGUGGCAAGCGUUGUCCGGAAUUAUUGGGCGUAAAGCGCGCGCAGGCGGUCCUUUAAGUCUGAUGUGAAAGCCCACGGCUCAACCGUGGAGGGUCAUUGGAAACUGGGGGACUUGAGUGCAGAAGAGGAAAGCGGAAUUCCACGUGUAGCGGUGAAAUGCGUAGAGAUGUGGAGGAACACCAGUGGCGAAGGCGGCUUUCUGGUCUGUAACUGACGCUGAGGCGCGAAAGCGUGGGGAGCAAACAGGAUUAGAUACCCUGGUAGUCCACGCCGUAAACGAUGAGUGCUAAGUGUUAGGGGGUUUCCGCCCCUUAGUGCUGCAGCUAACGCAUUAAGCACUCCGCCUG
Molecule: ribosomal RNA, 867 nt
Filed under: Bacillus sp. (in: firmicutes)
Lineage: Bacteria; Bacillati; Bacillota; Bacilli; Caryophanales; Bacillaceae
Description: bacterial SSU rRNA
Rfam family: Bacterial small subunit ribosomal RNA
Source: RNAcentral